GAUCGCGCGUCGACAUCGGACGCUAUGACACACUCGUGCCUUAUGUGCCACCGAAGCCCCGAAGUGGUCUGGCAUAUACCUUCACAUAUAUGCAAUGGCAAGCCCUUCCGUGUGUUCCAAAGACAAUGCCUACGCCUAGCCACAGCAGCUCCCUCAUACAGACUCCACAAACCAAGAGGCCGUGGAGGCAAAUGCAGGCAGCCAGCACACCUCGAACAGCCACCUUGACUGCAGGUGUGUCACCCUAGUCACCAAGGAAACAUUUGAGGGAAAGUGACAGGCAAUGCGAACAGCCACUUCUCCAUGUAAACAAUACUCUUUCUCUCGGAUGACUCCUACGCCUCACCACGCCAGCACACUUAUGCACAAAGAUGCCGCAGAGGCACGUGCAGGUCAGAGGCAAGAAGCAGUGGCACUGGUGUCGACAUUUACCCAAUUUCUUUUUCUUACACUGAGGCAGCCAGCACACCUCGAACAGCCACCUUGACUGCGGGUGUGUUAGUUGAUUCCUGUUGUACAUAUGCUCAUAAUAAACUUCAGUAAACUUGAACUUCAUAA
This is a non-coding RNA of Dermacentor albipictus, 558 nucleotides long. Lineage: Eukaryota; Metazoa; Arthropoda; Arachnida; Ixodida; Ixodidae. The record is from RefSeq and is a predicted model, not a curated record.